This 465-nucleotide ribosomal RNA is filed under the name uncultured bacterium. Its description in RNAcentral is "partial 16S ribosomal RNA". It matches the Rfam family "Bacterial small subunit ribosomal RNA", at positions 29 to 507 of the family's 1533-position model. The record is from RNAcentral.
ACGAACGCUGGCGGCGUGCUUAACACAUGCAAGUCGAACGAUGACGACCGAGCUUGCUCGGUCUGAUUAGUGGCGAACGGGUGAGUAACACGUGAGCAACCUGCCCUUCACUCUGGGAUAACCUCGGGAAAUCGGGGCUAAUACCGGAUAUGAGCUCCUGUCGCAUGGCGGGUGUUGGAAAGUUUUUCGGUGAAGGAUGGGCUCGCGGCCUAUCAGUUUGUUGGUGAGGUAGUGGCUCACCAAGGCGAUGACGGGUAGCCGGCCUGAGAGGGCGACGGGCCCCAUUGGCCUGCGGCAGCGACCAGUGUGCAACGGGGGGCAACGGGGGGGAAUCUUUCCCAAUGGGACCACGCCUGAUGGGAGGGCCUCCGGGUGGGGAAGACCGUCUUUGGGGUGUAAACCUCUUUCAGCAGGGAAGAAGCGAAAGUGACGGUACCUGCAGAAGAAGCGCCGGCUAACUACGUG